GAAAUUUAUGUGAAAUAAUUGGAGUAAAAUGUUGAAAACUUAUAUUUUAGCCAUGAAUAUCUUCAGGAAUGAACUGAGUUCAUUUUUAUAUAAACAUUUGUAAUAUAUUAAUUCUGAAUACAGCACCCAUGUUCAAGAAUAAGUCAAUAUUUAUGCCGCUUGGACACUGCUGAGUCCAAUUUAUUUUUUUCAAAGACAGAGCCUUUUGAAUUAUCUUGCAACUAAAAGAGAAAAGAUACAACUGAGAUCAAAUCAGAAAAACAAAAUACAAGAAAGGUCAGACAAAGACGCCUAAAAGAGAUGAAAGAGAGAGGGAAGAAUGAGACAGGGUGUGUCUGAAGAAGGAGGGUUAAUGAGAGUUUGUUUUUGACUACUGUGAGCGUGGCUGGACAAGAAGGAGCCCUUUGUUGUGUUUCAGUGUGAGCUCAUCAUCCAUGUCACUCAUUGUUCUGCUGAAAACAAACAACCCUACACUCCCAGCUACUUCUUGGAGCGGGGCGUGGAGCCGAAGGAAAGGCUAGCUCUGUCUGAGAGUCCAGACUUAACCCAGAUGUGAGGCCACUUACAGUGAUAUAACUGCGCCACUUACCAAGAAGUUCCAGUCUGUGUUGAUACGGUCAGCCAAACCAGUGACGAGCAGAGUGAGGUAAAAAGAGGAGAGGAAGAAGGAGGUGACGGACACAAACAUCACCCAGCCCUGCAGCAGAGGCACGGGCACGUUGGAAGAGGCCACCAGGAUCCAUACCAGAGCACCGAAUAACUAGGAAUAGAAAGAAAUAUCAUUAGAAAAACUCUCCAAAGUGGUGAUUUUGUUUAGAUGUGAUGCCCUUGUCGUUCUUUUGGAUUGGUUUUUGGAAAAAAAAAAAAGUUCCUUUACACUGUUUUUUUUAAACUUUUUAUACCGAAGAUUUACAUAAAAGGAGAAAUGUUCAACUUUUUAAACACAGUAUGCGUUAUUGCAAGAUAGUUGUUAGCUUAAUUAUUAAUAAAGUAGGUUGGGCUGCCAUAAGUUGAUAACACUCCAAACAAUUAGCAUGAAAAAUGAAUGAAUCUUCUUCAGUGAAGACAAGGUGUGUGCAUACUGUAGCAUGAGGUCAGUUUGUAAUCACUGGAUUUUUGCCAGGAUUGUUUUAGGAGUUGGAUAUUUGAGUUGAGAUAUACACUUUUGCCUAUUUUAUCUAGGUUGUGUGAAACAAUGUUGAUUUUUUUCCUUUAAAAAUACAACCUUGUGCCGUGCAUUUUUCUAUUGAGCCUCCUUUAUUACAAUUCCCCUAAAUAAAUUCUGAGGCAAGCCA
Long non-coding RNA from Xiphophorus hellerii (green swordtail), 1295 nucleotides. RefSeq lists it as uncharacterized. The record is from RefSeq and is a predicted model, not a curated record. The transcript has 2 exons. NCBI's taxonomy places the organism in Eukaryota, Metazoa, Chordata, Actinopteri, Cyprinodontiformes, Poeciliidae.